Molecule: ribosomal RNA, 447 nt
Filed under: uncultured bacterium
Lineage: Bacteria
Description: bacterial SSU rRNA
Rfam family: Bacterial small subunit ribosomal RNA
Source: RNAcentral
UGGGGAAUCUUGGACAAUGGGCGCAAGCCUGAUCCAGCCAUGCCGCGUGAGUGAAGAAGGCCUUCGGGUUGUAAAGCUCUUUUACCAGGGACGAUAAUGACGGUACCUGGAGAAUAAGCCCCGGCAAACUUCGUGCCAGCAGCCGCGGUAAUACGAAGGGGGCUAGCGUUGUUCGGAAUUACUGGGCGUAAAGCGCACGUAGGCGGAUUGUUAAGUCAGAGGUGAAAUCCCGGAGCUCAACUUCGGAACUGCCUUUGAUACUGACAAUCUAGAGUCCGGAAGAGGUUAGUGGAAUUCCCAGUGUAGAGGUGAAAUUCGUAGAUAUUGGGAAGAACACCAGUGGCGAAGGCGGCUAACUGGUCCGGUACUGACGCUGAGGCGCGAAAGCCAGGGGAGCAAACGGGAUUAGAUACCCCCGUAGUCCCUGAGCGGGCUGGCAAGGCGCAU